RNAcentral lists this ribosomal RNA (463 nucleotides) under Vreelandella stevensii. RNAcentral's name for it is "partial 16S ribosomal RNA". It matches the Rfam family "Bacterial small subunit ribosomal RNA", at positions 338 to 795 of the family's 1533-position model. Lineage: Bacteria; Pseudomonadati; Pseudomonadota; Gammaproteobacteria; Oceanospirillales; Halomonadaceae. The record is from RNAcentral.
CCUACGGGUGGCAGCAGUGGGGAAUAUUGGACAAUGGGCGAAAGCCUGAUCCAGCCAUGCCGCGUGUGUGAAGAAGGCCUUCGGGUUGUAAAGCACUUUCAGUGGGGAAGAAAGCCUUGGGGCUAAUACCCUCGAGGAAGGACAUCACCCACAGAAGAAGCACCGGCUAACUCCGUGCCAGCAGCCGCGGUAAUACGGAGGGUGCGAGCGUUAAUCGGAAUUACUGGGCGUAAAGCGCGCGUAGGCGGUCUGAUAAGCCGGUUGUGAAAGCCCCGGGCUCAACCUGGGAACGGCAUCCGGAACUGUCAGGCUAGAGUGCAGGAGAGGAAGGUAGAAUUCCCGGUGUAGCGGUGAAAUGCGUAGAGAUCGGGAGGAAUACCAGUGGCGAAGGCGGCCUUCUGGACUGACACUGACGCUGAGGUGCGAAAGCGUGGGUAGCAAACAGGAUUAGUACCGUGUAGUC